UGCAGAGGAAAAAAAUAAAAUAAAAUAAAAUACAAUACAGAUGAGGAAUUUCGGAGGGCUGCGUGACCUGUGUCCUUUUUGUUUUUGAGUUCUUCGUUAACAUCGUCAAGCAGCAAAGGCUGCAAAGCUUUGCAAAAAUACUUUUAUUCCUCUUCUGCUUCCUGCACAACGGCCACAAAAUUAUUCUUCACUUUCCUAUGGCUGCAUGUAAGUUCUUAUUCCAUUUAUCUAUAUAUAUGUUCAUAGGUACACACCCCUGUUUGUGGUUACAAAUUUAAGCGUCUAAAAUGAAUUCUUGGUUGUUAAAACUGUUAUCUUUUGAUUUUUUCUCAUUUUUUGAGUGUUUCUGUAAUGGGUUCUUCUUUAUUGGUUUCUUGUUUUAUAUAAAUUAUGCAUUCAUGUUAAUUACAUAGAAUUUGAAAUUUUUGUGCUGAAUUUUGCUUCAGGUGGUAUUGGGGCUUCAGGUCUUAAGAUAACAAACUUGGAUUUGGGUUAUGUUAGACCCAAAUUGAGCACAUUGCAGCCUUUGAUUGGUUUUAGGAAUCGAAAUUCUGUUCGAUUUGAUGGUCUGGUGCUUUCACAGAGAUCAAAGAAGGCACUAACUAGGUGGCGCAGUUUGACUUCAGAUGCUGAUUGUACGUUUCUUUACAUUGAUUUUUCUCUGUUUGGUUAAUU
Molecule: long non-coding RNA, 675 nt
Filed under: Olea europaea subsp. europaea
Lineage: Eukaryota; Viridiplantae; Streptophyta; Magnoliopsida; Lamiales; Oleaceae
Source: RNAcentral